AAACCCUCACCAGAGUACCAAUUGGAGGGCAAGUCUGGUGCCAGCAGCCGCGGUAAUUCCAGCUCCAAUAGCGUAUAUUAAACUUGUUGCAGUUAAAAAGCUCGUAGUUGAAUUUCAGCGUUUCGCGUGUGCCUCUUUUGGCCCAUCUCGUCUCGCUUUUUUUAUUACUUUGAGAAAAUUAGAGUGUUUCAAGCAGGCUUUUGUCUUGAAUACUUGAGCAUGGAAUAAUAGAGUAGGACCUUGGUUCUAUUUUGUUGGUUUUGUUACCUUGGUAAUGGUUAAUAGGAACGGUUGGGGGCAUUCGUAUUUAACUGUCAGAGGUGAAAUUCUUAGA
This 334-nucleotide ribosomal RNA is filed under the name uncultured Babesia. Its description in RNAcentral is "SSU rRNA". It matches the Rfam family "Eukaryotic small subunit ribosomal RNA", at positions 527 to 924 of the family's 1831-position model. The record is from RNAcentral. Lineage: Eukaryota; Apicomplexa; Aconoidasida; Piroplasmida; Babesiidae.